GCCUAAUUCUGCCUUUUCUCCCCCGGGGGCCGUGCCUUUUGUCUUCAGGAGUCUUUUCCCCCCAUUAUCCCUCCGGGGAGGGGGGGCGUACGUCCGAGCAGCCCGCCGAGGGGCCGGGGCCUGCCGGGGGCCGCCACUAACGUGGCACCGGGAGGGAGCUCGGGGGAGG
This is a long non-coding RNA of Oxyura jamaicensis (ruddy duck), 169 nucleotides long. RefSeq lists it as uncharacterized. The record is from RefSeq and is a predicted model, not a curated record. NCBI's taxonomy places the organism in Eukaryota, Metazoa, Chordata, Aves, Anseriformes, Anatidae. The transcript has 2 exons.